This is a non-coding RNA of Podarcis lilfordi (Lilford's wall lizard), 230 nucleotides long. The record is from the annotation of a GenBank genome assembly. NCBI's taxonomy places the organism in Eukaryota, Metazoa, Chordata, Lepidosauria, Squamata, Lacertidae.
GGGAGUUUAGCUCAGUCGGUAGAGCAUGAGACUCUUUGGGCAGAUUUACUCUCAUGGUUUAUAACGUUUAAAAUGUGCUAUUAAAAUGUGACACCAGAGAGUGCUGGCAAAGAGGGAAUGCAUGUUAAACGUUAUAGAACAUUACUUUUAAUAUCUUCCUAAUAAUGUUUAAAAGAUCGAUGUAGUUCCAGCCUUUAUCCCAGAGUUGUGGGUUUGAACCCCACAUUCCU